CAAAGCGAAAGCGAGUAUGAAAAUGCGUUAGUCACAAGGGUAAGACCUGAAGCCAGAUGAUCUACUCCUGAUCAGGCUGAAGUUUUUCGAAAGAGAAAUGGAGGGCCGUACAAGUAUUGCGUGCAUGCAUUUUGAUGACUUGGGAGUAGGGGUGAAAAGCCUCUCGAAUCUGGCGAUGGCUGGUUCCUGCUGAAAUAUGCCUUGGUAUAGUUUGGUUUAGUUUGUUUAUGGGGUAAAGUCACAGAUGAAUUUCGCAGAGGCUACUGCCUACGGAAAUUCUUCUAACUCAGAACCUAUAAACUGCGUAAAACCAAAAGCAGCUGCAGCGUGUAAGAUGCUGUAACGAAACCGGAAAAACGGAGCCUUGAGUUAAGGUCCCAAAAUAUUUACUAAGUGUAACAAAGGGAGUCAUUAUUCGAAGACAGUUGGGAUGUAGACAUAGAAGCCGUCAUCAUUUAAAGAAAGCGUAACAGCUCACAAGUCGACUCUACGUUGUUCUACAACGGUUUGGCGAAAGCCGAACUUGCGUAGGCAACCUCUAGGCUUCUUCGCGCGGAAAAUUCAACGGGGCUCAAACCAGGUACCGAAGAUUAGGAUUCGCGAGUUACACCAAGAUAAAUUGAAAAUGAAUAUGCUCGGGCGGAGGAAAAGAUGGAUUUCAAGAUCGUGGUCAGAAUACGUGAUAGCUCUAGUAGUCUGCGAUUUCAUACGAAGUUUCAGGCUGACAGUCCUGCUGAAGUCGAAGAAGUCGUCGAUAGAUUCGUAUCAGCUGGGAAAAGGUUAGGUCUGGAUAUUCUGGACUGCAGCCUUGAGCCCGUCGUAGCCCAAGAGCACGAACCUGUUUAGGAGGCAGGCCGAGCUAUGUCGUUUCCUAAGCUCUACAUGGGUAGAGCUUCGCCCGAGCAUAUUCAUUAAAAUUAAUUUGUUUUCGUGUAACUCGCGAGUGGUAGGCGAGCGUUCGUAUCGGGGUGAAGCAGGAGCGUAAGCAACUGUGGACUGAUACGAAGUGCGAAUGUUGGCAUGAGUAACGAAAUGGAAGUGAGAACCUUCCACGCCGCAAGUCCGAGGUUUCCACAGCAACGACGAUCGUCUGUGGGUUAGUCGGAUCUAAGUGGAUAAAACCACGAUGUUCAGACGGUUAAUAUUCCGUCACUACCGCGUAACUACCCUGCGAUGACACGGGCCCGUGGUUAAAAAUAAUUAUUGGAUUUUAUUUUUAGCUCAAAGCCUGGCAAGAAAAGUCGCAGAUUAACUAUGCGUGGUAUCCGUACCGCAAACCGACACAGGUGGACGAGGCGAGUAGCCUCAGGUGGUCGAGUGAACCCUCGUUAAGGAACUCGGCAAAAUAGUGUCCGUAAGUUCGCAAUAUGGACUGCCCAUCGCAAGAUGGGUUGCAACAAAUGACUCUCAAGCGACUGUUUAACAAAAACUUAGCUCUCUGCUAACCCUUCGGGGAUGUAUAGGGGGUGAUGCCUGCCCAGUGCUCGUAGGUUACGGGGAGGGCUGACCCGUCCAGCACUUUGUUCGUUCAGAAACGUUUUGCUAAGAAAUUGGCGAUUCGUGCUCUAGCGACCAUAGUGCUGGAUGGCAAGGCUCGAACUUAAGCCCGAGUGAACGGCAGCGGUAACUAUAACCGUUCUAUGGUGGGAAGAAAGCCGCCAUAGUGGAGUAUUCAAACUCCCAUCCGAACUGUGCGUGCGCACAGAUGUAGGAGUGAAAAUCUGGCUAUAUGCUGGAACGUCUGAGUAUCUAGCGGUACUAUGGUUGUAAUGACACAUAGUGACAAUUCGUCUAGUGCAGAUAAUCAGCAGGAAAGAUUAGCCUUCUGGAUUGUUGGUUUCGUUGACGGAGAAGGAACCUUCUCGGUCAGUCUGAACCGCAAUUCGACAACAACAACUGGAUACCAAGUGUUUCCGGAAUUCGUAGUGACACAAGGCGCAAAAAGCCUGUCAGCGCUACAAGAGAUUCAACAGUAUUUCGGCUGCGGAAAGAUUUACGAGAAUCGCCGCUACGACAAUCACCGAGAAUCGAUGUAUCGCUACGUUGUUCGAUCGUUUAACGAUUUAACGACAAUAGUCAUUCCGUUCUUCCAAAGAUUUCCGCUCAGAACCGCUAAGCAAAAUGAUUUUCAAAAGUUUUGCGAGGUAAUCGAGCUGAUGAAAGAAAGAAAACACAUUAAUUCAGAUGGAGUUGGGACGAUUCGAUUGAUAAUCAAUCAAAUGAAUCGUCGAGCUAAAAUCCUCAGACACUAAUACGCCAGACGCAAAGCAAUAAGUGCUUUGUAAAGAUAGAGUGCGCUCUUCGUAGCGAUAUGAAGUAAGUAUUGGAGUGAUCCUCUACAGCAACAACAUUCGAAGCGAAAUUCCUCGACAAGGGGACCUCUCGCUGAAAAGCGAGGUGGCAAACUUGGCCAAAUGCUGGAACAACUCAGUAUCCGACAGUACCGCAAGGUAAAAAUCUGUUCGGUGGAGUCAAUCAGCAGGAAAGGCCGUAUGUCGUAUGUGGCAUACGGAAUCCUCAACGACUAUACGCCAAGGGCCGUAAGGAAAUAAUUUCCUCGGUCAUGAUAUAGUCUGAGCUCGGCAGCGAUGUCGAGAGUCCGUGAAAUAAUCGGACGCUUCAAAAGAAAGAAGUUAACAAAUCUGUGUCGCAUAAGUAGCGACCCGCACGAAUGGCAUAACGACUUGAGAACUGUCUCAACGAGGGACUCGGUGAAAUUACACUGCCGGUGAAGAUGCCGGUUACUUGCAGCAAGACGGAAAGACCCCGUGGAGCUUUACUACAGUUUGAUAUUGAGCCAGAGCUUGGCAUGUGUAGCGUAGGUGGGAGAGUUUACUCGCCAAUGAAACACCACCCUUGUUUUGUUUUGGUUCUAACUGGAUUUGAAAAAUAGUCUAAGACAGUGUCAGAUAGGUAGUUUGACUGGGGCGGUCGCCUCCUAAAGAGUAACGGAGGCGUGCAAAGGUUGGCUAGCUACGGAUGGAAAUCGUAGCGAUAGUGUAAACGCAUAAGCCAGCUUGACUGUAAGGCCUACAAGCCGAACAGGUGCGAAAGCAGGCGUUAGUGAUCCAGCCGGUUUCAGAACGAAACGGCCGGCGCUCAACGGAUAAAAGCUACCCCGGGGAUAACAGGCUGAUUGCGCCCAAUCGUCCACAGAGACGGCGCAGUUUGGCACCUCGAUGUCGGCU
This 3188-nucleotide ribosomal RNA is filed under the name Gallionella sp. RNAcentral describes it as "partial 23S ribosomal RNA". It matches the Rfam family "Bacterial large subunit ribosomal RNA", at positions 667 to 2537 of the family's 2925-position model. The record is from RNAcentral. Lineage: Bacteria; Pseudomonadati; Pseudomonadota; Betaproteobacteria; Nitrosomonadales; Gallionellaceae.